Molecule: RNA transcript, 1245 nt
Organism: Sapajus apella (tufted capuchin)
Lineage: Eukaryota; Metazoa; Chordata; Mammalia; Primates; Cebidae
Exons: 1
Source: RefSeq, a predicted model, not a curated record
AUGGCCUCAGCCCAGGGAGCAAGCAGUCUUCGCCCCGGUGGGGACCGCCCGCUACGCAGAGACGUCCACGGUCCGCGUGGAGACCUCAUCCCACCGCGUGGAGACAUCGUCCGGAUGGAUGGAGACCUCACAGGGCCGCAGCGAGGGGCCUUCCCUCUCCCCGUCGAGAAAGUGGCUCCCUGGCGUCCUCGCGGCGUCCUCCUGGCACGUGGAAGCCUCCUUGCAGCGCAUGGAAACGACCUCCCGCCACGUCAGGGACCCUGCGGGUGGAGACGUCUCUGCACCGCGCGGAGAGCCCGGCCCCGAGGGCCAGGCCGGCCGCCCCUCAGAGAGAAAAAAACAGCCUGAUGAGAUGCUGCUUCCCAAAGGCCACCAAGGGGCCAGGGCCUUCGGCCAGGAGAGAAAGGCCUCCAGUUGCCAGCCAGCCAGCUGCCAGGUGGGCCAAUCUUUUUCGGUUUCAUGGGAACAGCCCAUAAAUCAAUGUAAGAAACAGCUAAGCUGCGGUUCCUGAACACAGCCAACGUUUUUUGACCAUCCUACGGCGUCUUGGACCAGUCGGCUUUUGAACCAGUGAAUUAUAUUCACUUGAAGUCAGCACAAAAGGUUUUCAGGCCCAGGAUGCUAUAUAAAUCGGGUUGAUGGACAAAGAGGCUGUUUGAGCCUCUGAGCCAGGUGAGUUUGGGAUCCAGAGCCCUCAGAUGACCUUCACCCCUUAGGAACAGAGACCAAACUGAAAUCAUGACCUGUGGAAUGAUUCCAUGCCUGCUAAAAGCUUGAAAGGCAACAGACUCAUAAAUUACUAAUUGGCCUUUGUUUAUGUUUCAAAGUAAAUGGUUUUCUUUUACCUGGCACCCCCAUUCACACACUUUUUAAAUGUAGGUUAGAUGUAGUUAAAAAUGACAGCAAACCCACCAGCAAGCAAAAAUAAUCUUAGAAGAGAAAGUGAAAGGAGGUCAUUGAAACCUGACCUGAGGUUUGAAGAAGAUGGACAAGAGUCAUAUUUACUGAGUACCUGCUCUGUGCCAGGCACUACAGAUGCUCCUCCACUUACGAGGGAGUUACCUCCCAAUAAACCCAUUGUAAGUAGAAAAUAUGGUAAUUUGAAAAUGCACUUACUAUCUACAACCUACUAAACAUCGUAGCUUAGCCUAGCCUACCUUAAACAUGCUCAGGACACAUUAGCCUAAAGUUGAGCAAAAUCAUCUAACAGAAAGCCUAUUUUAUAAUAAAAUGUUGAAUAUCUCA